RNAcentral lists this ribosomal RNA (301 nucleotides) under uncultured bacterium. RNAcentral describes it as "partial 16S ribosomal RNA". It matches the Rfam family "Bacterial small subunit ribosomal RNA", at positions 509 to 808 of the family's 1533-position model. The record is from RNAcentral.
CAGCCGCCGCGGUAAUACGUAGGUCCCGAGCGUUGUCCGGAUUUAUUGGGCGUAAAGCGAGCGCAGGCGGUUAGAUAAGUCUGAAGUUAAAGGCAGUGGCUUAACCAUAGUACGCUUUGGAAACUGUUUGACUUGAGUGCAGAAGGGGAGAGUGGAAUUCCAUGUGUAGCGGUGAAAUGCGUAGAUAUAUGGAGGAACACCGGUGGCGAAAGCGGCUCUCUGGUCUGUAACUGACGCUGAGGCUCGAAAGCGUGGGGAGCGAACAGGAUUAGAUACCCCCGUAGUCCCUGUCUCUUAUACA